RNAcentral lists this long non-coding RNA (656 nucleotides) under Felis catus (domestic cat). RNAcentral's name for it is "lncRNA (ENSFCAG00000044775.2)". The record is from RNAcentral. Lineage: Eukaryota; Metazoa; Chordata; Mammalia; Carnivora; Felidae.
GUUAAGGUGGUUUUCACCCAGGGGCCCUAGAGAAAGAGGCAAUGAUUAUUUCCAGGUAAAAGGAUUUUCCUUCCUUCUUUUUGCUUUGAUUUCCUGUUUUUUAUACAGUAAACAAAUCUAUUUUUAGGCAAUAAUAAAUUGAAGUGUGCCAGCUCAAUAGUGAGCAUUGGGAGUUCUGUUCAAGUGGAAAUCAGAGAAGACCUGUCCAUCACUGCUCAAAGAUAGAGGAGGACAACGACCAGCAAAUCUUACCCAAUGGAGACACAACACUGCUAUUCACACCGAGUAUCCUCCCUUUCAUUCCUUAGACAGUCUACACCUGCACAUGGUAAGCAAUAAAACAGUGUGGACCUUCUAAUCACUUCUCUAGUACUGAUGAUCAUUUGUAAUGACAUUGAACAAAACUUUGCCCAGCAAUUUGCAUUGAUUCUUAGGAGAGGGUCACUUCUCACUCCCUGAUCUAAGUGUAAGUCACUCCUUACACAUUGAUCCAUGGAAUUCAUAAGAUUUGUCAGAAUUCAGCAAAAGAAACCAAAAUUUACGUUCAAUUACAAGUUAUCUUUCAACCCCUACUCUGAAGACUAGGGAAUGGGUUUGCUUAUUUUGUUUUGUGGUUAUUGCCAAUUUUGUUGGGUAUUUUGUGGAAGGAAGAGAAG